Oncorhynchus nerka (sockeye salmon) is the source of this 1399-nucleotide long non-coding RNA. RefSeq lists it as uncharacterized. The record is from RefSeq and is a predicted model, not a curated record. Lineage: Eukaryota; Metazoa; Chordata; Actinopteri; Salmoniformes; Salmonidae. The transcript has 3 exons.
AACUUACAAGACACUUCAUAACUAUAACAUUACAGAAAGAAUAGUUCCCAGAUAUCCCCUGCGUACAUCUCAAACCACACUGUUACAAUUUCUCCCCAUUGUGGACACUCCUAUGUCUGAUAAGGUUACUUAGGAAGGAGAAGCCCUCCUUAGUCAUUGAGCUUCCUCCUGGACCUCUAGACAUUGUUUGGGUGUUGUUGGGAUUGUGUGUGGUGUUAUAGGCUAGGUGCCUCUCAUGGUGAAUGCCCAUCCGGACCCUGUCUGUGUUGGUGAGGUAACCCUGAGGUAACUGAGCAAGGCCACAUCCAGGCCCAGAUCUUCUAUGAACCCAGUCACCAGGAAUUAGACGUGACGCCGAAGGAGACGACAGACUUGCUGCUAGACUACCAACGGAGGGGUCUCCCACCACUAUCUGUGAAGGCUGAAGCCCAGGGUGACCUGCUCUGUUAAUCAUUGAUUCAAUCCCAGUGGCUGUAGUUUCCUCCGUAAUGUCCUGUUUUCUUUCUGGCUAUGAGUUAUUUCCAACCGAAACACUGCAUAGUCGUCGUUAACGAGUUUACAGAUGUCUGCCACGGCUGCAUUCGCUAGCUCCACCAUGAUGGACGCUAUUUGAGUGUGAAAAACCAUACAGUUAGCCAUUGUUAGCAGCUAGCUAGCGUUACUUAGAUAACAUCUAUCAACCAAGUCCUGUCUUCAACGUGAAUUAAACACUGACAGGCGCACCUUUCUGAGAACCGCUUCCUGCAGUUCAUACAGGCGAACGGCAUCUCUUCCGUGUGGACCUUCAGCUGUCUCUUUAGAUGGUGCUGUUUGGAGAAUCUCUUCCCACACUGGGGGCAGCUGUAGGAUUCUUCCAGUGUGGACCCUCUGGUGCCUCUUCAGGUUGGACAGGGAAAGGCCUGCCUUCUCAAAGACCUCUCAAUCGCGGUUGACAACUGUGGUGUCCCCUUUCCAGAGUGCAAAGAACCAGGGGAUCAGCUUCUUCUCAGCCCAGUCAAUGCUCUUCUCUGGCCUGGCAGCCUAAUGGUGGAAAGAGCUUCCCCCUGCAGCUAGGACAGCAGAGUCCCUUGCCCAUCUUCCGAAAACAUAUUUCUUAAACCUAUGGAUCCGGAUCACGUUCUGCACAUUUUACCCAUCCUCUUCUGAACCAUUACGUCUGUGCCUCAUAUUUCUGGACAGCCGAAAUAAAAACCCUGCUGCGAUUUGAACAAACAUUUCAAGGGCAUUAUGAAAGCUACAACCUUUUCUGUCUGUAUUGCAGUUGCUCAAGCAGGACGCAGUCCCUACAAUGUAUUGGAGCAAAGCAUGAAAAAGAACGCUAAUACUUUGACUGCCUGUCUGCCUCCUUCUUAGCCAAUGUUUGUAAUGAUGAUUAAAAAGAUUAGCGAUUUAGACUGCA